GAACUGCGAUAAGUAAUGUGAAUUGCAGAAUUCAGUGAAUCAUCGAGUCUUUGAACGCACAUUGCGCCCCCUGGCAUUCCGGGGGGCAUGCCUGUCCGAGCGUCAUUGCUGCCCUUCAAGCCCGGCUUGUGUGUUGGGUCGUCGUCCCCUCCGGGGGACGGGCCCGAAAGGCACCGGCGGCACCGCGUCCGGUCCUCGAGCGUAUGGGGCUUUGUCACCCGCUCGAUAAGGACCGGCCGGGCGCCAGCCGGCGUCUCCAACCUUUUUUUCUCAGGUUGACCUCGGAUCAGGUAGGGAUACCCGCUGAACUUAAGC
This 315-nucleotide unclassified non-coding RNA is filed under the name plant metagenome. RNAcentral describes it as "partial contains 5.8S ribosomal RNA, internal transcribed spacer 2, and large subunit ribosomal RNA". The stretch from base 1 to 105 matches the Rfam family "5.8S ribosomal RNA", at positions 50 to 154 of the family's 154-position model. The record is from RNAcentral.